Molecule: non-coding RNA, 89 nt
Filed under: marine eukaryotic metagenome
Description: THF riboswitch
Rfam family: THF (Tetrahydrofolate) riboswitch aptamer
About the family: THF riboswitch presents a pseudoknot that joins P1-P2 and the loop of P3 and two THF binding.
Source: RNAcentral
GCAGAGUAGAAGCCGCGCGUAAAGUGUUGGAGGAUGGGACGUUGCCUCCAGACGAAAGAGAUAAUCUGCGAUGCGGUUUCGCGUCCGCU